Molecule: ribosomal RNA, 374 nt
Filed under: uncultured organism
Description: partial 16S ribosomal RNA
Rfam family: Bacterial small subunit ribosomal RNA
Source: RNAcentral
GUAGGAUCCGAGCGUUAUCCGAAUUUACUGGGCGUAAAGCGCGUGUAGGCGGCCGGGUAAGUUGGACGUGAAAGCUCCUGGCUCAACUAGGAGAGGUCGUUCAAAACUGCCUGGCUAGAGGGCGACAGAGGGAGGUGGAAUUCCCGGUGUAGUGGUGAAAUGCGUAGAUAUCGGGAGGAACACCAGUGGCGAAGGCGGCCUCCUGGGUCGCACCUGACGCUCAGACGCGAAAGCUAGGGGAGCGAACGGGGAUUAGAUACCCCGGUAGUCCUAGCUGUAAACGAUGUGGACUUGGCGUUGGUGGGGUCAAAUCCAUCAGUGCCGGAGCUAACGCGAUAAGUCCACCGCCUGGGGGACUACGACCCGCAAGGUUA